GGGUGAUAAGCUUGUGGUGCUGACUUCUUUAUGUACCCAUUCUGACAUGUGUAUAGUGUGCAGUGUAUUCACAUGGCCUCUUUUACCACCACCCACAGAUUCAUGAGAAAAACAAGUUACAUGCCGAAAGCUGCCAUCAUUGGCUGCCCACACAUGGGCAAAAAAAAAAGGAGGGUGUGGGGGACAAUGUGAAGGUGUUGCUGGCUGACGCCGCUGUAAGCCACUGUGGCUCAGGUGAGGCGGGUGCUCCUUUCAGGUCCAUCAUCUGCACUCUUCCCAUCAUACUCAUGAGAAACUCCCAGCGUGCCUUCAGGGCCAUCUCUCGCCAGUAACAGAUCGGUGAUUAACAUGACUGCUUGGGCAGAGGAUUAUAAAUUCUAGUACUGCCUAGUACUGGAUAAAGGACAUCUUCCCUGAAGGCACCAGUUGUUCCAGUCUAGGCAGCACUGCAUCAGAUACUUAUGUGCAAGUUACCUAUGCCAUGGGUACUGACACCCCCCCAUACCAUGACAGAUGCUGGCUAUUGGAUCUGAAGCUUGGGUGGUCCUUUUCCUCUUUGGUCCGGAGAACACGAUGGCUGUUUUGUCCAAUAACUAGGUGAAAUGUUGUCUCGUCGGGCCACAAAACAUGAUUCCACUGUACUACUACUGUCCAUCUCAGAUGAGACCAAGCCCAGAGAAGUCUUCUGGACAGUGUUGAUGUAUGGCUUCACUUAACUUGCAUCUGUGGAUGUAGCGGUGAAUGGUAUUGACUGACAAAGGUUUCCCAAAGUAUUCCGGAGCCCAUGUCAAGAUAUCCAUUACAGACUCAUGACGGUUUUUAAGACAGUGGCAUCUGAGGGAUUGGAGAUCCCACGCAUUCAGAAGUGGUUUUUGGCCUUGCAAUAUACACACCGAGAUUUGACCAGAUUCCUUGAAUCUUUAAGUAUAUUGUGCACUGUAGAAGGUGAAAUGCCCCAAACCCUAUCGAUUUGUCUUUGGAGAAUGUUGUUAUUAAAGUUGUUAUUUGAUGAUACAUCUGUUGGCAGACUGGUGAACCUUGACCCAUCCUUGCUCUUAAAGGACUAGGACUUUUUUGGAGGCUCUUUAUAUACUAUGAUUAGAUGAUAGCCUCACCUGCUUCACAUCACCUCCUUAUUUCAACUUGUCACACUGCUAUUAGUCCUAAAUUGCCCCAGUCUUUUUUGGAACAUGUUGUGUGCAUCAAUUUCAAAAUAAACAUUUACCUUCAAAAAGUUAUGCAGUUGAUUAGGUAAAACAUCAAAUACCUUGUCUUUAUAUGAUUUUUGUUUAAUUACAAGUCAAAGUACAUUUACAAUUCACUCCUCUUUGUUUUUAUUAGCAUUUUCCAUAUUUUCUCACUUUUUCAGAAUUGAGGUUAUACUAUUUGUAUUUGUAUUUUUUUGUCACACUGAAUAUUGACUUUGUUUCAUUUACUACUGUUUACUGUUCUUUAUGGUAUUUUUUUAAUGUAGAAACAUUUAAUUUCAUUAUUUUGAAAGCAUCUUUGCCUUACACCAUUUAUUUGCAUGUGCCUAAAUCAUUUGCACAGUACUGUAGGUAAGUGUUACGAAAGGGUUACACAACUCUUCGCAAUAACUCCUCUGCUUCAAAGGUGCAGCUGGGUCAUAUGUUUUGUAAAUCUAACAGAUGUCUUGAUGAAUACCUCAAAGAAGGUUUCCAAAACAUAUAUACAAUUCCAUGCAUGAAAAACACUUUAAUGCAUUGAAAAAAUCCUGGAUCCCCAUUCCACCAUCCUGAUACCACCACUGCAGCCCUCACCACAACUGAGGAACAACAGAAACAACACUGUACCUCUAUUCGAUUAUUUUAAAGACAUGUAUAUUAUCAGAACACAUUCUGAUGGAGGGUUUGGGUGAUGACAGGUGUCGUCUGGCAACAAAUAAACAGCAUUGUUACAUGAGAAAGAACAAUGGUUGCACAGAAACACUGCAUGAAUUGAGUGUAAUAUAUGUUAGUAGACAAGAAUGUCUACACAAAACAUGAUGUGCCAGUGCUGUUGCUUCUGGCAAUCACCUGUGCAAGCAACCACAACUGGCAAUACAAACUGGCCAAAACCUUUAAGCACAGCAAGGGCAGCUCCUGGUGGCAAUUUCAACAACACUUUUUAUGAUCUUUGACUUUGCUCAGCAAUGUCCGCCAUUGUCUUAUCAUACAUUGAGAAACAAGAUAGAACAAAUGGUGCUUUUGAUGGAGGACAAAUGAAUGUAAAUGUUUUGGUGAAAACACUGAGCAAGUCCAUUAAGCGUCAAGGCGAGGAUUUGCUUGUAAGUUGCUUGGAAUGAAUACAUGUAAACAUGCUCUAGUCCCACAGAAACUUCAACCAUCUAUCUCUACAUGGCCGUUCCCUUGAUAUCCCAACUGGUCCCAUCAUAACCCUGCUUCCUUCCAGCUAUAGCUCCUUCCAUCCCUCCCUGUGGGUCUGGGUAUGCACAACCUGUAAUUGUGGAGUAGCCACAGCACAUAGACUGUGAUAUAAAUAUCAAUUUCUGCUAUUCCUGUGAAAAUAAAGCAUGCUGUGAAAAAAAGAGAAAGAAUGGCUCUUUUUUCAUGUCCUAUUUCAGGUUAUUCUCAGAGCCCGGCACCUACAGCAUCCUGAGCACUGCCUCUAUGAAUGUGAUGCACUGCACUAUUGUGUUUAGCUCUUAAGACUGUGACUUCAUGCUUUCAAAUUGCUA
Molecule: long non-coding RNA, 2698 nt
Organism: Ictalurus punctatus (channel catfish)
Lineage: Eukaryota; Metazoa; Chordata; Actinopteri; Siluriformes; Ictaluridae
Source: Ensembl